UAUAUAUUUUAUCUAUAUAAAUAAACCACAGAUUAGAGUUUUAACUACAUUCUAGCAUGAAAAACAGUUAAAACUUCAUUUUCGGACGCAUAUAGAGCCAUCGAAGACGGGGCAAUUGUCCCAAUGUCUAGCCUGAAGACAGGCGCCUCUCGGCGGAUGAGCGCCGUUACCGCCUGGAAGUCAUAGAUCUCCGCUACCGGCAAAACACACUUAAAAUUACACACAAUCUUUACUAACAAUCCACAGAUUUGAGUUUUGAAGAACUACAUUCUCGCAUGAAAAAGUGUUAAAACUUUAUUUCAUUACAUAUUACAAGCAAUAUUUAUAAUAUUAUGUGCCUUCUCAUCCACCAUUACAGCUUGAUGCAGCUUGGUGCAAAAUGAAUCCUGGGAGGAAAAAAAUAAUAAUUCUCAAUUAAUACACUCCAAACGAACUUUAUUCUUAUUGUUAAAAUCAGAGAUAUGUAAUAUUUUGAAUGGCGAAGAAAAUAAUUAACUUUAUAUUUCAAUCAAUAUAUUACUUUUGCACUGCUUCGGUUCAGGACUCGUGUGACAUUGAAUCAGAUUCAGAUAUUUUAUCAGACGUGUUCAUGAGCUCAUAGUCAUCAACAAGCAAUUCGUGUACAAGCAGUACACGAACCAAGCAAUAUGAUGAAAUAUUAAUGAAUUAUAUGUUUGCGUCUUACAAUAUUAUACAAAACGGAAUCGUUUUCAGGCGAAUUCGACUCUUUACUGUUCACUUAAAGGAGCCGAAUUCAACUCUUUACUGUUCACUUAAAGGAGCCGAUUCAUUUAACAGAACUGACUCGACUCAACCGCAAACAAGCGCCAUCACCACAGACAACGCGUCGUCUCUUCACCCAACGGAUUCAUCCUCGUACAAGACUGAAGUAAAGGUGAAAUGACUAAAGUUAAGGUGUACCUGAUAAUAGCUGAAGUGUGAGGUGAGUGUAAAUUCUGAGCACACAAAUAUAACCUAAAUUCAUUAUCACAAUCUAAACCUAUAUAUAUAUAUAGAGUGUGUGCGUGUGUUAGGUUGAGUCUUAUUCUAAUCUUAUUAUAUUAAUUUUUUUUUGCAGCCACAGCCAUUGAUGUUGAAACACUGAUGCUACCAAUCAACCCUCGCCUGAUUAUUAAAGGUAAUGUUGAUGCCUUCCUCAUUUUUAUUAGAUUUUUUAAUGUCAGGUUUUUCACAGAUUUGUUGUGAGCAGUUUCUUGUACAAACUCUUUUUCUUCUUCCAGAAGUUCCACCAGUACCUCCAGUAGUAGUAAAUAUUAGACAAAGAUUUUUUUAAACUAUAGUUUUUAUUUUUAUUAGCAAUUUUACUGGGCAUGUGUGUUUGUUUGCUUGGUUUUUAAUAGGCAGAGCAUGGAAUGUCAACUUUGUUUCUACAAAAAAAUUUAAUUAUUCACAAACAUCUCUAAUUUAGUCCUUCUUUCCCCCUUUUAGUCUUAUUCCUUGGACUCGGAGGGUCGAGUGGUCAUGGGACCUCACCUGGAUUUCACAACUGACUUUGGAUCUGGUCUGAAACUGAAGUAUGCUGAAGAUGCCUUUUGCACUCUGGAAUUUAAGGUAAUGUCUACAAUAAAUAUUGUAACUGAGGGCUUGUUUUGGGGGGGUUAAACAAGGAAUGUAUAGGAGCACAAGUCAUGACUCCCCUUGUCCCCUUGUUAUAAAGGGCCGUGUUGCAGACACAAUUUGUUUGUCUGUACUGGAGACCAGAGGGGAAGCUGUCUUUAAAAGGAUGGGGCUCUUAUACCAUAUGUGAAGUUACCUAUUCAGGUGAGUGGAUUACAUGCAAGUCAUUGCAAAUGCAUAAAUAGUGGGAAUUUUUUACUGGGCAGCACAAAUUAAGUGAAACUCAAAAAACGUUGAAAAAUAUUUGGAAUAUUUGCAAAAAACUUGAUUGAAAUGAAUACAACACAAGUGCUGUAUCACUUCAAUCAAGUUUUUUUUUGCAAAAUUUUCCUAAUAUUCAAAUCAUGAAAAAUUAGCUUGAUGCAAGAAACAUCCUGCUAGUAUUCAAGAGCAAGUGCUGUGAUGCAUGUGUUAACUUUGCAAUAAGUGUGAAUCCAGCAUUAGAUUAUAGUCUGUAAACAGAAGGUGUAAAUCAAAUCAACUGUUUUAAAAUGCUCUGCCUAGGUCAUUAAAACCACUAUUUGUUGUUGGACUGUUCUUGAUUGUGUGUUUGUGAUGGAAAUGUUUUUCAGAUGUUUUUGUUUAAAUGAUUGCAGUUUGACUGAGCUACAGUAUUGUCAGCAUGUUCAAACUGAGCUAACAGUAAUUUUGCUCUGUAGUGCAGCAGUAGUGUCCCAGUAGUGUUGUAUGAAGCUAACUGUUUGUCUGCUCUUUUGCUUAUAGGUGCUUUUUGGGCACCAGUUUGGAGAUGGAAGACAGACGAAGUCAAAGAAGCAGAGAAGACACAUCAACCAGCAAGUGUGUAAAAUUAUCAGGAAAAUGAUUGACCUUGAAUAGACGACUGCCUAAUUUAGCAAGAAGUUUUGUCUCUCUCUCUCUCAUGUGUAUAUAUAUAUAUAUAUAUAUAUAUAUAUAUAUAUAUAUAUAUAAAAAAUGAGAGAGAGAGCGCACUCUGAAGCACUGCUUUUUAUAUGUAUGCUACAUAUGAUGUCAGAUUUUUUUAUUAAUAUGUUCUUAUAGUAUUUUUUGAGGCUUCACCUUCACCUUUUGAAAGUUUUCUGAAAUGUUUACACAGAUGUCAUUAAGCUGUUAAAUAAAUCUGUAAAAUGUAUUUGUGUUUGUUUUUAUUUUGAUUUUAGAGUCUUUUCAGAUCACCCAAUAAUGAAGAUCUGUCGUCAUUUACGCAUCCUCAGGUUGUUUGGACACAAAGAGGAAUAUUUGAUAUUUUUAUUCCUGUGUUUAACAAAAAAAAAACAUUUUUAACAGAGCUGGAACAACCUGAGGGUGAGUAAAUCAAGAUAGAAUUUUCAUUUUUGUGUGACCUAAAAUUGCUUUGAAAUUUUACAGCACCAAACUGUUAAAUUACAGUAAUCCGGGAUAUAACUGUAACUUUAAAGUUAAAUCAGGUAUUUAAACUGCAACCUACUGCUAAAUCACAGUAAUCGUUUUGCAAAUUCACAGUAAAAUAUAGUUAAUUCUACAAGAUAAUACUGUGAAAUUACAGUAACUGACUUUAUUAUCUACUGUAAAGUUACAAUAUAUGGUUGUAAUUUCACAAUAAUUUAAUGUGACAAAACCACAGUAAAUUACUGUGAACUACCUCACAAUAAUUUACUGUGAAUUUACAUACAGUAAUUUACUGUGAAAGUAAUGCAAUUAUUAGCCAGUAAUUUACUGUGAAUUUAAGGUCAAUUUUUUUACAGUGUAUAGAAAAUUUGCAGAGUUGAAAAGCCUGUGUGGGCAAGACAGCCUACAAAUCUGACUCAAUUACACCAGUUCUGUCAGGAGAAACAGGCGAAAUUCAUGCAAACUAUUGUGAAAAACUUGUGGAAGGAUACGCAAAACAUUUGACCAAGUUAUACAGUUUAAAAGCAAAUCUAAAAAAUACCAAGGAAAUGUGUGUAAACUUUUGAC
Molecule: long non-coding RNA, 3552 nt
Filed under: Danio rerio (zebrafish)
Lineage: Eukaryota; Metazoa; Chordata; Actinopteri; Cypriniformes; Danionidae
Description: lncRNA (ENSDARG00000117493.1)
Source: RNAcentral